UUUUUUUAGAUACCUUUUAUCGUUUCCAAAUGAACGAAAAACCUAACUCAUUCCCCAGUUGAACGAAAAACAAUAAAACAUCGAAUCCUAAAUCACUACUGAAAAUCCUAACUCGCUGCUGCGUCAACGGCAGUGCGAGUGCAUCAACGACAACCCAUCUUUUUUCCAGGUAAAUUCUGUUCUCUUCGAUUUACAAUCGAUUUACAGUAGAAUCGACUUCGCUGCCGAAAAAACCUAACUCACUGCUGCGUCAACGACAAUGUGAUUUACAGUGUGUCAACAACAGCCCAUCUUUUUUCAGGUAAAUUCUCUUCUCUUCGAUUUACAAAGAUUUAUAGUAGAAUCAAUUUACAGUAAAUUAACUUCUCUUCUUCCAAUCGAUUUACAGUAGAUUUUGUAUUGAUGUUGGUCGAUUGAUUUACAGUAAAUCAGUUCCCAACUCGUUAUUGCAUCAACAGCCUGCCGUAGUGCCCGUCCAUCUUCUUCCCUUGUUAACUUCUUUUUUUUUCCCGGUUAAAUCAGUCGCUUGCAAUCGAUUUACGGUAGAUUUUGAAUUGAUUCUUGUCGAUCGAUUUACAAUAGAUUAUGUGUACAUUAAUCUGGUAAAAGUCAUGUUAUUAUUUGGAUGUAGAAAAUCCUGAUUUAGGAAGUUUGUUUCGGCUGCUUAUCUCGUAUAUCUAAAUUUCUCUUAUGUUAUAAACCAAUUUUUGGGAAUGAAACUUAUAUAGUUGCCGAGGUUAAUGUUCUUGUACAUGGGAUUCGUGUUCUAUAUGAAACGAUGUAUUUAGCAUGGACAAAAAAUUUCAGAUCCUUUAAUAAGCAUGGACGCCCUUCGUUACUUUAAGAAUGACCUUCAAAUGGUGUAAAACAGGCCCUCAGCUAUUUAUAUAUUAGAUUGAACUUUGUUAAGUGCUUAGAUAAAGAAUAUAAAUAUAUAGAGUACCGCUGAGAUAUCUUUCUGAUUGCAAAAUCUAUCUAUUGCCAAGACUUAUUCUUUUCCGUGUUAAAGGUCCAUGUCAUGGGUGUGAGGUUUUCUAGAAAAGCAGUUAUGAAUAAUCUAUAAAUUAGUGUACUAUUGAGUUAAAAGAAAUAGAAUUCUUGCAGUAAUUUGUAAAUAAUUAUGAACCUAUACUUACCAGAACAUUUAAGGUUUUAGUUAGAGUAGGAGUACAUAAUUCUAUCCUUAAGAGAGAAUUUCAUUAAGCUAGUAACUAAAGUAAGGUACACAAGCUAUCAUAUUUUUAUUUCUUUUCUAUCAUCAUGGUAAGAAAUGAUUGCUUAUUCUUAUUCAUAUAAUGAUAUGAUAGACAUUGCAUCUUAGGAACUUAUAUUUGCUUAGGGAAAUUUGAUUUUAAGAGGUCAGGUUUGGAUGUAGAUUAUUAAAUAGGUUGUGAAUAUGCGAAAGUAUAUUGACCUACCAUGUUUUUACCAAAAUAUAUUACUAGUUGUACUUUUAGUAUAUUGUUUGAACAAACUUCUGAUAUUCUUAGUUGUGACUAGUGUGUAGCCGAAAUUUCUACAUCCAACUGAAGGAAGAGAAUGGAUCAAUAUUUUUAUCUUUUUAAUCUUUAAAUUGCAAUUUGUUGUAAUAAUAAUGUGUAAAAGUCGCAGAUAAAAGCAGAUCACUUAACGAAUUGCGGUUAAACUAUGUCAAUGAUCAAAAAUAUCUUUGUAUUAAUUCGUGUGCUUCGUCUUCUCUUGCGAAAAUCUAGGUCCUUUGCGCAUUUGUUCAAAAAAUAACCUGGACUACUUGAAGGUUGCUGACUGAGAUAUAAUACUGGACAGAUGCUUAAAGUGAAUACGUCUGAUGUGCUUAUGGUUUAUUCCGUGUUGCUAUCUUCUUCAGGAUAUUCUGGAGAAGGCCCAAACUCUCUCACUGCGAGCUUUAUUAAUUGAUUUGAUCCAGACAGUUUAUCUGAGAGGAGUAACUGGAAGUGCAUGAGGUCUAUCGCAUGUUCACUGUUUUGUGCUGUCUUUUAAAUUAUAUGUUGGCUUUAGAUAGUCAUGGGGAGAACUCUUACAUAAAUACUUUUUGGUCCUUGAAGUUCUUCUUCUGAUAAUUCAGUGGGGUUUUAGCGUAAUUUCAAAGGAUUUUCCCCCCAAUUUUAUGGUUUUAAAGCAGCUAAAAGAAUAUUUUGAAAUGUCCAUGCA
Molecule: long non-coding RNA, 2151 nt
Filed under: Nicotiana tabacum (common tobacco)
Lineage: Eukaryota; Viridiplantae; Streptophyta; Magnoliopsida; Solanales; Solanaceae
Description: long non-coding RNA (NTAB_LNC004572)
Source: RNAcentral